This 278-nucleotide ribosomal RNA is filed under the name Vibrio diazotrophicus. RNAcentral describes it as "partial 16S ribosomal RNA". It matches the Rfam family "Bacterial small subunit ribosomal RNA", at positions 1 to 273 of the family's 1533-position model. Lineage: Bacteria; Pseudomonadati; Pseudomonadota; Gammaproteobacteria; Vibrionales; Vibrionaceae. The record is from RNAcentral.
UUAAAUUGAAGAGUUUGAUCAUGGCUCAGAUUGAACGCUGGCGGCAGGCCUAACACAUGCAAGUCGAGCGGCAGCACAGAGAAACUUGUUUCUCGGGUGGCGAGCGGCGGACGGGUGAGUAAUGCCUGGGAAAUUACCCUGAUGUGGGGGAUAACCAUUGGAAACGAUGGCUAAUACCGCAUAAUAGCUUCGGCUCAAAGAGGGGGACCUUCGGGCCUCUCGCGUCAGGAUAUGCCCAGGUGGGAUUAGCUAGUUGGUGAGGUAAUGGCUCACCAAGG